Molecule: ribosomal RNA, 515 nt
Filed under: uncultured bacterium
Lineage: Bacteria
Description: bacterial SSU rRNA
Rfam family: Bacterial small subunit ribosomal RNA
Source: RNAcentral
CCUGGCUUAGGAUAAACGCUGGCGGCGUGCUUAACACAUGCAAGUCGAACGGAGUGGUCUCCCGAGGAUUGAUGGUGCUUGCACCUGAUGACUCAUUGAAUCACUUAGUGGCGGACGGGUGAGUAACGCGUGGGAAACCUGCCCUAUACUGGGGGAUAGCAGUUGGAAACGACUGAUAAUACCGCAUAAGCGCACAGGACCGCAUGGUCUAGUGUAGAAAAACUCCGGUGGUAUAGGAUGGUCCCGCGUCUGAUUAGCUAGUUGGUGAGGUAACGGCCCACCAAGGCGACGAUCAGUAGCCGGCCUGAGAGGGUGUACGGCCACAUUGGGACUGAGACACGGCCCAAACUCCUACGGGAGGCAGCAGUGGGGAAUAUUGGACAAGUGGGGGAAACCCUGAUCCAGCCGACGCCGCGUGAACGAUGAAGUAUUUCGGUAUGUAAAGUUCUAUCAGCAGGGAAGAUAAUGACGGUACCUGACUAAGAAGCACCGGCUAAAUACGUGCCAGCAGCCGC